Molecule: long non-coding RNA, 1272 nt
Filed under: Bos indicus x Bos taurus (hybrid cattle)
Lineage: Eukaryota; Metazoa; Chordata; Mammalia; Artiodactyla; Bovidae
Description: lncRNA (ENSBIXG00005030368.1)
Source: RNAcentral
AUGUGUCCACACAGCACACACAGCACACAGGCACACACAGGACACAGGCACACACAGCACACACAGGCACACAGCACACACAGCACACACAGGCACACAGCACACAAAGGCACACAGGCACACAGCACACACAGCACACACAGGCACACAGCACACACAGGCACACACAGGCACACAGCACACACAGGCACACACAGGCACACAGCACACACAGCACACACAGGCACACAGCACACACAGGCACACAGGCACACAGCACACACAGGCACACACAGGCACACAGCACACACAGGCACACACAGGCACACAGCACACACAGGCACACACAGGCACACAGCACACACAGGCACACAGGCACACAGCACACACAGGCACAUACAGGCACACAGCACACACAGGCACACACAGGCACACAGCACACACAGGCACACACAGGCACACAGCACACACAGCACACACAGGCACACAGCACACACAGGCACACAGCACACACAGCACACACAGGCACACACAGGCACACAGCACACACAGCACACACAGGCACACACAGCACACACAGGCACACAGCACACACAGGCACACACAGGCACACACAGCACACACAGGCACACAGCACACACAGGCACACACAGGCACACACAGGCACACAGCACACACAGGCACACAGCACACACAGCACACACAGGCACACAUAGGCACACAGCACACACAGCACACACAGGCACACACAGCACACACAGGCACACACAGGCACACAGCACACACAGGCACACAGCACACCCAGGCACAGAGACACACACAGCACCCACAGGCACACAGCACACACAGGCACACAGGCACACACAGCACACACAGGCACGCAGCACACACAGGCACACAGGCACACACAGCACACACAGGCACGCAGCACACACAGGCACACAGGCACACACAGCACACACAGGCACACAGCACACACAGGCACACACAGCACACACAGGCACACAGCACACACAGGCACACAGCACACACAGGCACACACAGGCACACAGCACACACAGGCACAUACAGGCACACAGCACACACAGGCACAUACAGCACACACACAGCACACACAGGCACACAGCACACACAGGCACACACAGGCACACAGCACACAUAGGCACAGAGACACACACAGCACACACAGGCACACAGCACACACAGGCACGCACAGGCACACAGCACACACAGGCACAGAGACACACACAGCACACACAGGCACACACAGCACAUGCACGCAGCUCCCUGUAG